RNAcentral lists this ribosomal RNA (399 nucleotides) under uncultured bacterium. RNAcentral's name for it is "bacterial SSU rRNA". It matches the Rfam family "Bacterial small subunit ribosomal RNA", at positions 359 to 775 of the family's 1533-position model. The record is from RNAcentral.
GAAUCUUGGACAAUGGGGGCAACCCUGAUCCAGCGACGCCGCGUGGGUGAUGAAGGCCUUCGGGUUGUAAAGCCCUUUUCCCGGGGAUGAUGAUGACGGUACCCGGGGAAUAAGCACCGGCUAACUCCGUGCCAGCAGCCGCGGUAAGACGGAGGGUGCUAGCGUUGUUCGGAAUGACUGGGCGUAAAGGGCGCGUAGGCGGCCAGGCUAGUCGGGUGUGAAAGCCCGGGGCUCAACCCCGGAACGGCAUCCGAGACUGCCUGGCUGGAGACCGGGAGAGGAGGGUGGAAUACCCAGUGUAGAGGUGAAAUUCGUAGAUAUUGGGUGGAACACCGGUGGCGAAAGCGGCUCUCUGGCCCGGAUCUGACGCUGAGGCGCGAAAGCGUGGGGAGCAAACAG